Molecule: non-coding RNA, 118 nt
Filed under: uncultured Dialister sp.
Lineage: Bacteria; Bacillati; Bacillota; Negativicutes; Veillonellales; Veillonellaceae
Description: FMN riboswitch (RFN element)
Rfam family: FMN riboswitch aptamer (RFN element)
About the family: The RFN element is a highly conserved domain that is found frequently in the 5'-untranslated regions of prokaryotic mRNAs that encode for flavin mononucleotide (FMN) biosynthesis and transport proteins. This element is a metabolite-dependent riboswitch that directly binds FMN in the absence of proteins.
Source: RNAcentral
UCUCUUCAGGGCGGGGUGUAAGUCCCCACCGGUGGUAAAGCCCACGAACUGCAGGUUUUUCCUGUGGUAGGUCUGGUGAAAUUCCAGAGCCGACGGUAUAGUCCGGAUGAAAGAAGAG